GGCCCCUUCGUCUAUCGGUUAGGACGUUAGGUUUUCAUCCUAGAAAGAGCGGUUCGAUUCCGCUAGGGGCUA
This 72-nucleotide transfer RNA is filed under the name bacterium. Its description in RNAcentral is "tRNA-Glu". It matches the Rfam family "tRNA". From Rfam's summary of the family: Transfer RNA (tRNA) molecules are approximately 80 nucleotides in length. The record is from RNAcentral.